Molecule: transfer RNA, 76 nt
Filed under: Desulfonauticus submarinus
Lineage: Bacteria; Pseudomonadati; Thermodesulfobacteriota; Desulfovibrionia; Desulfovibrionales; Desulfonauticaceae
Also listed under: 1 other name
Description: tRNA_Thr_CGT
Rfam family: tRNA
About the family: Transfer RNA (tRNA) molecules are approximately 80 nucleotides in length. Their secondary structure includes four short double-helical elements and three loops (D, anti-codon, and T loops).
Source: RNAcentral
GCCGGGAUAGCUCAGUUGGUAGAGCAGCUGAUUCGUAAUCAGCAGGCCGUGGGUUCAAGUCCCAUUCCCGGCUCCA